UACGGAGGGGGCUAGCGUUAUUCGGAAUCACUGGGCGUAAAGCGCACGUAGGUGGAUAGCUAAGUCAGGGGUGAAAGCCCGAGGCUCAACCUCGGAAUUGCCUCUGAUACUGGCUGUCUUGAGUCCGAGAGAGGUGGGUGGAAUUCCUAGUGUAGAGGUGAAAUUCGUAGAUAUUAGGAAGAACACCGGUGGCGAAGGCGGCCCACUGGCUCGGUACUGACACUGAGGUGCGAAAGCGUGGGGAGCAAACAGG
RNAcentral lists this ribosomal RNA (253 nucleotides) under uncultured bacterium. RNAcentral's name for it is "partial 16S ribosomal RNA". It matches the Rfam family "Bacterial small subunit ribosomal RNA", at positions 524 to 776 of the family's 1533-position model. The record is from RNAcentral.